AUACGAAGGUCCCAAGCGUUAUUCGGAAUCACUGGGCGUAAAGAGUACGUAGGCGGUUUGGUAAGUCAGGUGUGAAAUCCCGGAGCUCAACUCCGGAACUGCAUCCGAUACUGCCAGACUUGAGUAAUGGAGAGGCAGGUGGAAUUCUCGGUGUAGCAGUGAAAUGCGUGGAUAUCGAGAGGAAGACCAAUGGCGAAGGCAGCCUGCUGGACAUUUACUGACGCUGAGGUACGAAGGCUAGGGGAGCGAAAGGGAUUAGAUACCCGAGUAGUCC
Molecule: ribosomal RNA, 274 nt
Filed under: uncultured bacterium
Lineage: Bacteria
Description: partial 16S ribosomal RNA
Rfam family: Bacterial small subunit ribosomal RNA
Source: RNAcentral